UGAGGAAUUUUGCGCAAUGGGAGCAAUCCUGACGCAGCAACGCCGCGUGGGUGAUGAAGGCCUUCGGGUCGUAAAGCCCUGUCAGGUGGGAAGAAUGUCCCGGGACUGAACAGGUUCCGGGAGUGACGGUACCACCAGAGGAAGCACCGGCUAACUACGUGCCAGCAGCCGCGGUAAUACGUAGGGGGCAAGCGUUAUCCGGAUUCAUUGGGCGUAAAGCGCGCGUAGGCGGUCUGUUAGGUCAGGAGUCAAAUCCGGGGGCUCAACCCCCGUUCGCUUCUGAUACCGGCAGACUUGAGUUUGGUAGGGGAAGGUGGAAUUCCCAGUGUAGCGGUGGAAUGCGCAGAUAUUGGGAAGAACACCGGUGGCGAAGGCGGCCUUCUGGGCCAUAACUGACGCUGAGGCGCGAAAGCUAGGGGAGCGAACA
Molecule: ribosomal RNA, 427 nt
Filed under: uncultured prokaryote
Description: bacterial SSU rRNA
Rfam family: Bacterial small subunit ribosomal RNA
Source: RNAcentral